AAAGAUCGGCAAAAGUCAUAUGACGUAUUGAUCAAAAUUGGUCACGUGUCAAGUCGUAUAAACAUUCGUCAGCAAGAGCUGGGUGACGCGGGAUAUGUAAAUUGAUCAAAUCGUGCUGAGAUAGCACAACAUUUAAUAGCAUAAAGGAACAGUUUGUUUUGUCGUUGUCGUCGUUGAAACAGAUGAUACCGUUGAAGUUUGCCUGUAAAAUAUUUGCUGAAAGUUUAGAGAAAAAUUGAUAAACUAUUCAUGAAAUAAUAGAGAUAAAUAUAUGGAAAAAAUUAUACCUGAUAAGAAUGGUGAAUGUUUGGAGACUUUCCUUGUACAAAAACAGAUGG
This is a long non-coding RNA of Xenia sp. Carnegie-2017, 338 nucleotides long. RefSeq lists it as uncharacterized. The transcript is spliced from 3 exons. Lineage: Eukaryota; Metazoa; Cnidaria; Anthozoa; Malacalcyonacea; Xeniidae. The record is from RefSeq and is a predicted model, not a curated record.